Molecule: ribosomal RNA, 460 nt
Filed under: uncultured bacterium
Lineage: Bacteria
Description: partial 16S ribosomal RNA
Rfam family: Bacterial small subunit ribosomal RNA
Source: RNAcentral
CCUACGGGUGGCAGCAGUGAGGAAUAUUGGUCAAUGGACGAGAGUCUGAACCAGCCAAGUAGCGUGAAGGAUGACUGCCCUAUGGGUUGUAAACCUCUUUUAUAUGGGAAUAAAAUGUUCCACGUGUGGGAUGUUGUAUGUACCAUAUGAAUAAGGAUCGGCUAACUCCGUGCCAGCAGCCGCGGUAAUACGGAGGAUCCGAGCGUUAUCCGGAUUUAUUGGGGUUAAAGGGAGCGUAGGUGGAUUGUUAAGUCAGUUGUUAAAGUUGGCGGCUUAACCGUAAAAUUGCAGUUGAAACUGGCAGUCUUGAGUACAGUAGAGGUGGGCGGAAUGCGUGGUGUAGCGGUGAAAUGCUUAGAUAUCACGAAGAACUCCGAUUGCGAAGGCAGCUCACUGGACUGCAACUGACGCUGAGGCUCGAAAGUGUGGGUAUCAAACAGGAUUAGAUACCCCAGUAGUC